UACACGAAUAAAAAUAAUUCCAUUACGACCACGCGACAAAUACGAUCGCGAAGAGAUAAAAUAAUAUUUCAGCUAACAUCAGUGUCUAUUCUAAAGUUGCAAUGUUCGCGAGUACAAAAUACCGUCGCAACGACAAAUCAUCGAUAUUAUUCUCGUGAAUGUUCUCCAUCCGGCGGUUAAUAUCGCUCGAUUUGGCCGACGGCAAUCAAUCCGUCGUUUGUAUUCACCAAGUACUACGCGUAGUAAAUACGAUGUGUACUAUGAAAGGUACAUCGAGGCAUACUGUAAAUCGAUUCGAUAUUCGAGUCAGGGACUAACGAUAAACGUCGCAGUGCACGAUUCUUUCAUUCUUGUGAAAUUCUCAGUCAUACUGGAUUCUACAGAAGCUUUGUUUUGCCGUCGGUGUAAUUACAGGUACAGAGUACAACAUACAAUUCCUUUUUCUCUAUGGAAAAAGCGACUGCUUGCAGGUAAAGGGAGCAUCUCAAAGCGGCGGAACGAUUAGCUUGCAGGUAAAGGAGGCAUCUCAAAGCGACGGAACGAUUAGCUUCACGGUUUCAUCGCUGUCUAACGCGUAGCCUUCGUGGCGUGAAAUAGAAACACGCGCCACUUAUCGCACUGAUACACGAUGUAUUGUUCGCAUCAACAUGUACAUUCUACUUUCUCAAGUUUCGCGACGGACUUCU
Long non-coding RNA from Hylaeus volcanicus, 686 nucleotides. RefSeq lists it as uncharacterized. The record is from RefSeq and is a predicted model, not a curated record. The transcript has 3 exons. NCBI's taxonomy places the organism in Eukaryota, Metazoa, Arthropoda, Insecta, Hymenoptera, Colletidae.